RNAcentral lists this long non-coding RNA (3354 nucleotides) under Homo sapiens (human). RNAcentral describes it as "HSALNT0363802". The record is from RNAcentral. Lineage: Eukaryota; Metazoa; Chordata; Mammalia; Primates; Hominidae.
GACCUCAAGUGAUCUGCCCGCCUCGGCCUCCCAAAGUGUUGGGAUUAUAGGCAUGAGCUACCACACCUGGCUGCCCAUUUUCACAUAGAUGGAAGCAGAGCUCCCUCCCCGUGCUAAGCUGCAGCAUGCGCUCAAUGCCACUGCCACUCCCAGUCACGGGACACCAAGGAAUGUCCUUCUGGGCUCAGGGGGCCAACUGCUGAAGGGAGAAAGCACGAGGGGCAAAGUUCCCUGGCAGCGGGAGGGCUGUCCCCCACUCAGGGCACCAUGGCCCCAGCCCUGCUGGGGCAACCCAGAGAACCCUGAGGCAGGAGACAGGGAGAGUGGUGAGGCCUUCCCCUGCACAAGCAUCCAGAACUCCUGAGAGCUCUUCAGAGUAGGAAGGGAGGUGCCAGGUGACCUCGCCUGACCACAAAUGUGAGGAACCCGAGGCCUACAGAGGAAGAGUCCAGCCAGUCCACAAACACCCACUGGGCACCAGCCAGGUGCUGGGGACACUGGGAUGAAUGUGACCAGCUCUGAAGAGGCUCCUCAUCAGGACCUGGGACUAAGAAGGUACAGCUCCGCUGAAUUGAGUAAAUGUGUCACCCACCCAAAGCAACGACCCAGAGCAAUUAACAGAUCACUUCUUCCUUUUAAGGCAUGUAUUUAAGGCUUGUCUUUCUUUGAAAACCCUCGGAGGAAAGAGAUGCAGCACUGUGGGGGAAAAAUGAAAUGGAAGAGACUUAGAUUGUCUUGGCAUUUCCAAGUGCUGGCUCUGUUCCUGGCACACAGUAGAUGUCUGAGAUAUGUUCUUUUGGUGGAUGAAAGAAUAAAAAUAUCUCCACGGCCACUUGCCCCUGCUGCCUGAAGUUCCACCAUUAUCACUGAAUCUUUUCUGGGGCUAAAGAGUAUUCCCUGUGAUGCUCUCUCAAAAUGCAGUCCUGGGCCAGGAAACUAGCUCUGGCUGGGGGUUUCCUUGCACAAAACAGCAAGGUCAGGGUUUGCCCAUGAGAUCUUCUCACUGCAUUCUCAAGACGGUGUGUCCAGACCCUGCUCUUUGACCAAGGAGUUGCAUGUUCAAAUAAGCUUAGGAAAGGCUGGCUGCACACUCUGCCACCCAUUGGGGUCCCUAAUUCGUAUUAAUACAUUAAAGACCCUGAGAAGGCCUGUUUGGAUUUAUGUGACCUAGCGUUUCCCAAAUCUGUAUGCUCAUGCAUCCUUGAAUCCAUUCCCAUGCCACGGGACUAGGGCUCCUCAGGGGACAGUUUGGGGAGUGUGGACUAGAUAGUGCGCCUGGGUCCAGGCGGGACAAGGUCUGCAGGUUGAAGGGUGUCUGUGGCUGCCACCCAGCCAGGGCCAUGCUUCCCUGCACUGACCAUUUGACAGAGGCAAAAAGUCCAACCUCAGCCACCACCACCAAUAGCUCAUGACAGAGACAGAUAAUGAACAUGGCAUCAGACAGCCUCCAAACGUAGCGCAAAGGAGGGAGAAGGUAACAGAGUGGGCCAGAGACCUGAGUGAGUUCCAACUGUGACUUUGUGCUCACUGCUGGCCAUUGGGCGGGGGGACCCCAUCCUGCUAAGCUUUGUUUUCAUCAUCUGCAAAAUGGGGAUAAUGCUAUUCUCAGGGCUGUUGUGAAGAUUGAGGUAAUGCAAGCAGAGGCAGAUUACAAACUGUCAAGUCCUGUGCCAGCAUUUGCUGUGUGCAUCAUUAUUUUACUGCAUGCAUGGCCAGGAGGGUGUGGUAAUGUCUUGAUUGAUCACAAGCCACUGCAGAGGUCCUCAAUCAGGACAGAUGGAUGGAUGGAUACAUGGAUGCAUGGAAGAAUGCACAGACAGAAUCCCCAGUGUGACACAGGCUCACCAAUGGCUGACUGGUUGAAUAGGCUGUGGGACCUCAAGCCAGUCACCUCACCUGCCUGAGCCCGAGGUUUCUCACCUGCAAAAUGAGGGAUGAAAGCGGAUCUCAUGUGGGAAAGGAGCCACUCCAAGGAGAGACUCAAACAUGACUGCCCUUGAGCUGGGUGAGUUCAGCUGAGUGGGUAGGAAGGGGAGCACCAGGCUCUGUUUUGAGGAGGGAGGCAAAACCCUACCUACCAGGAAUCACCCAUCUAACCUUGAAUUCUCGGCCUGCCCUUGGCAGUCCUGGUCUGAGAGAUGGACUCAGCUGCUACCACUGCCAGCCACCAGCAGGACCCUAUCUGCUGUCUUCCCAGGUUGGCUAGGGUCCCAGAGGGGGAGAAGCAGGAGAAGGGUCUUCAGUCAGAACUACAUAUGUCUUCACUGGAGGGACCUGGGCCCUAGAGCACAGACAUCCUUGCAGGCCCACGGUGGCCCGAAAUGGUUGCUAACUGGCCUUGGGCCACACAGUGAGACGGAGGUGCCAGGACCCAGGCCUUUAGGCCCAGCCCAGGGCUCUCUGCACGGGCCCAAAGUCACCCCUUUUGGAGCAUGCAUUAAGCACAGAGAGGAAGAACAGUGUGAAGAGUUAGGAUGAUGCACCCCCUAUCCUGCCAUGGUCAAGAGGCUCUGGCCAUUGACAGUUGAACCCCCAAGCUCCAAGGUGAAAAUCAACACCUGGUCACCCAGUUCUCUGCUUCACUCACUGCAGGCACUGACAGGGCACAUCUGGACAGAGGAGGGGCUCAGUCUGCCUCUGCAGAGUCCCCAGCAAGAGGAAGAAGGCUCCAAUUGCAGCAGAGUGGACUUCAAUUAGUCUCAAGAAAGAACUUCCUGCAGAGGCAUUAAGCAUGAACAGCAUACAGAGAAGGGGGGCAUGAUGAGGGCAACUGUAGCAUCUCCUCUGAAAUACAGGAUGCUGUCUCAUUCAUUAUGUCAUUUUACUUUCAAACCAGCCUGGAAGGUAAUCCCAGGAAGUCCUUCCUACAAAUGCAUUUUAUAGGAGAAACAACUCGUGCUCAAAGAGAUAAAAUGAUUCUUCCAGGGUCAUCCUGCCAGUAAGUGACAAAGCCAGGAUCAACAUAAGUUUUCUGUCUUCUGUAUGGUAGACACGUUGGACAGUGAUACCUGGACUUGAGCAAGCCCUGAGAAUGACCUUGUAUGGCAGGCGCACCUCAAUGCAGUUUGGUUCUAAGCUAAGGAAUCUGGGAGUAGCCAACCCGGAGAUCCACUCCUUAUCUAUGAGGAACAUCUGAGCUCUUGGCCCAUCCUAUGGAACUUGCGGGCCAAACAGAGGAUUGAGGUCUGUGGUUUGGGGUAAAUGGAGGUUGCUAGGUGGAAGUUGUUGGGGGAGGUGCUAAGUGAAAAUGCUAUAGAAAUUGCAAGCUUUUAGGCUGGGGGGCGGUAGCUCACAGCUAUAAUCCCAGCACUUUGGGAGGCUGAGGCAGGCGGAUCACCUGAAGUCAGGAGUUUG